AAUGCCUGUCAUAGACAUUGUAUAAUAUUAAUAAUUUUUUCAGUAAGAGUAAAGAAUGUAGCUGGGUCAGAACAAGGCCAUUUUGUCAGAAGUUCCUACUCCUUGGGGUUUCCCUAUGACACAGGGGAAAAAAAUUGCCCUAUAUAUCAAAUUUUUGUUUUUACUCAGAAUUCUUCAAUAGCUCAUAAAAAAGACAUCACUAUAAUCUAAGCAGAAUCUACAUUUCUUUUCUGACGAUUUGAGACCCAAAUAAUUCCGCAAAUAUAAGGUAAAAGUCCAAAUCCCUUUUCCUGUCAUUUAAAAAAAUCAAAUAUCUUUACAAUGUCACCAUCAGGAUAAAUUAUAAAUAGGGAGUGAAGGCAGAUGUGAAAGUUAACUGGAUCAAGAAUGUUAAAUAAAAUAUGUUUUUGUAAAUUUGGACGACAUUUUACUUGCAAUUAUGUACCAUUUACUAGGCUGGAUGUAGUACAGACUUGCUUACCGUACCAUUUCAAUACUGAAGAAGUACGUUUGUCUGAGCGAAGCCAAUUGGAAGUACG
RNAcentral lists this long non-coding RNA (539 nucleotides) under Mytilus galloprovincialis (Mediterranean mussel). The record is from RNAcentral. Lineage: Eukaryota; Metazoa; Mollusca; Bivalvia; Mytilida; Mytilidae.